CGCGCGACCCCCAUCCCCCUGACGAUCGGCCACCCCUCCGCGACUAUCUCCGUCGGUGGUUUUUUUUCUCGUCAUCCAUAUCCUUCCUUUUUUCACGGCGCGUUCUCGCGCGAAGGGGGUGAGUCGUCUAGCCGUGGCGCGUCCUUGGCCGGCGGCGAUCCGCCGUUUCAGCGAGCGUUAGCGAGUGUCUUACGCGGCGACGUGUUUUACACGUCACGAAGCAAGCCGGCGUAUCGUCCGGAUAUAUAUUUCGCUGCGUGAUAUCCCGUUGUGACAGACGCUUGUGGUCGACGCGCAGCGCGGUGGCGUGUCUACCAUCGCGCUUCCGUCUCUCGCUCUUUCCUUCUCUUUCUCCUUCUCUGUCUCUCUCUCUCUCUUUCUCUCCUCGAUUCUGUCUCUAUCCGGUGUCUUGUGUGCGUCUGUCUGUCGCGUGCGAGAAAAAUCUGCCCCCGCACCACUCGUACUCUCUCUCGUGUGUCUGUCACGGGGAUCCCCCUCCGAGGAAAGGAUCCGGUACGGCGAGGAAACAUGGGGAGAGGGACAUCGUUGUAUAUGAUUUCCACUGACGAUCUGCAAUGAAUUUCCCGCCGUUCGGAGGUCACUUCCCUACUACUAUACCGAGUAUUCAUCAGUUCGCGACCGAAAGCUCCAGCGGUGCGGGCGCGCGUUACGCCAAUCAUUUUCCCAACCAGCCUCCGAUCGGAGUGCCGGUUAUGGGAAAGUACCGUCCCGAGAACAACGGCGUACAAUCCGCUCAGUCGCAAGUGAUGAUGAACAAUAAAACCAGCUAUCCCAACAGUAAUGUUCACCAUUAUCCAAAUGUGCCGUACUCUCAAGCCCAAUCGGUUCAACAACGGCCGGCCAAUUCGCCUGGAAUGCAAGAGAAACGCUCGUAUCAUCAGCAGUCCACGGAAACUAUAAAUCAACAAGAUGUUUGUAAUCUGCUUCAAGAUAAAGAUAAGAAUAAAGAGAAAAAAGCUGAGGAACAGCGCAAUGGAGAGACUACCACAAAUGGUACGCAACAGGAUUACACGAUGCACCAACAUCAUCAACAACAUGCUCAUACUCAGACACCAGCCACUAUGCCCGCUACGUGGCAGUCGCUUGCUACUCCUGGAUCCACCGUAGCUGAUUAUCUCAGUCAUUUGCCGGCUAGUACUUUACCACUGAGUUUACAUCAUUUUCUUAAAUAUUCUGCCGAAAGUAUUAAAAAGGAAUCCGAGAUGGCUCAAACUACUUCGGUGGCUGUGGCGACUACAACGACACCCAACAUAAUGAUGUCGCCGAAUAAUAAAAAGAAGAAAAAGAAGAAGACGCCAAAGGAAAAGAAACCGCGUCCAAAGCCUGGCGAAAUUCGUUUAACGACAGCAUUAGACGGCUCGACGUUGUACUGCUGUCCGGAAUGCCAUAUGGCGUAUCCGGAACGAGAAUUGUUGGAGCAGCAUCUUUUAGGUCAUACCUUAGAAAGAAGAUUUGUCUGUGACAUAUGUGGCGCUGGCUUAAAACGAAAAGAUCAUCUUACGCGUCAUAAACAAAGCCACAAUCCCGAGCGACCUUACGUUUGCACCGUUUGCUUGAAGGCUUUUAAGAGAAAGGAACAAUUGACGUUACAUUUUGUAAUACAUUCUGGAGAGAAACGACACGUGUGUACCGAAUGCGGCAAAGGAUUUUAUCGGAAGGAUCAUUUACGGAAACAUACCAGAAGUCACAUCGCGAGAAGAGUGAAAGCUGAACUAAGUCAAAACGCCAGUACACAACAAAAUCAACAGCAAAAUAACGUUUCAAAUAUGCAAACGACAACUGUUUCGGCAUCCUCUGUUCUUCCGGGCGGGCAUCCGGGUUCUCUCCUGUCCUGAGCCCCGCCACCAGGGAACUUUCAAGUUCCCCAUCCAAACAAUAUUCUUCAUACGCAUACUUCACAUCAUUCGCUGCAUCAUCAUCAUCUAACAGCGGUUAAUGUGGCGCAUCAAUCGAGCAUCACGCCACUCGCUACAUCCGGUCAUUAUCAGUCGCACGAGCUUAGCUUUUUGGGACACGUUAAAGAUUUCUGAGACGAGGAGAGAACCUCGACAAAGAGGUAACACCAAGAUGCUAACCGAUUGUCACUGUCUCGUCGUCGACUGGUAGGUGGACUAUGCAAAUAAUGGUAAAAGAUAAGAAGAAUAGCUUUACGAGAUUUAUAAGAGAAAGGAUGGAAAAAAGUAUGUGAAUAUUGAAAGAGAGAGAGCAGCAGAUAUUUCCAAAGUUCGACAUAUGUCUUCGACUGUUCAAACAAAUGAGUGGCUCAAGAAGAUCUAUUUUGAAGGCUAGCUAAAAGAACCUAUUAAAAGAACCUAUUACCAUCCUCGACGAGGCGAACAGUUGAUUCUUGACGAGUUAAAGAACCGACCGUUUCGUCGUCGAGCUAUAUAGAGUAGUAAUGUUCCUGUAGAAAAAGGAAAGAUAAUAGUUGAUGCGUUUCUAAAGAAGAGAGAAAUACUUUUCCGGUGCCUUUGUAUUGCGCUGGAUUUUCCGCACCUAUAUAGUUUUCCAUCGUAAAGUUUAAGAUCUAAAGAGCGGCGCGUUGUGCCUCUCUGUUUUCGAAACUACAUGUAUGUACACUUGUCCGCCUUCACGUCGUUCGAGCAGCCAUUUUUCAUUAUUUUUAUAUCGCUUUUCUUAUUAUUUUAAUAUCUUAUCCGAAAUAAUUUCAGUGAAUAUAUAUUCAGUGAUAUGCCAUGAUAUUGUGAUUUGAUAAAGUACACGUUUCUUUCUCAAGAUAAGGAGAAUAUUUCGUUUAAUUUCUUGAGAUAGAAUCAGAAGAGUGAUUCGAUUAGGGGGACAAAAAAUAUGUAUAUAUAAAUA
Molecule: unclassified non-coding RNA, 2844 nt
Filed under: Camponotus floridanus (Florida carpenter ant)
Lineage: Eukaryota; Metazoa; Arthropoda; Insecta; Hymenoptera; Formicidae
Description: zinc finger and BTB domain-containing protein 49- like, transcript variant X3
Source: RNAcentral